This 330-nucleotide ribosomal RNA is filed under the name uncultured bacterium. RNAcentral's name for it is "bacterial SSU rRNA". It matches the Rfam family "Bacterial small subunit ribosomal RNA", at positions 568 to 898 of the family's 1533-position model. The record is from RNAcentral.
UCUGUAGGCGGUGCGGCAAGUCGGGAGUGAAAUUUCUGGGCUUAACUCAGGGACUGCUUCCGAAACUGCCGUGCUUGAGUGCGAGAGAGGUGAGUGGAAUUGCAGGUGUAGCGGUGAAAUGCGUAGAUAUCUGCAGGAACACCCGUGGCGAAGGCGGCUCACUGGAUCGCAACUGACGCUGAGAGACGAAAGCUAGGGGAGCAAACAGGAUUAGAUACCCUGGUAGUCCUAGCCCUAAACCAUCAGGACUUGGGGUGCAUCCCGUUGGGGGUGCGUCCCGUAGCUAACGCGUUAAGUCCUGCGCCUGGGGAGUACGGUCGCAAGACUGAA